RNAcentral lists this ribosomal RNA (501 nucleotides) under uncultured bacterium. RNAcentral's name for it is "partial 16S ribosomal RNA". It matches the Rfam family "Bacterial small subunit ribosomal RNA", at positions 30 to 523 of the family's 1533-position model. The record is from RNAcentral.
AUUGAACGCUGGCGGCAUGCCUUACACAUGCAAGUCGAACGGCAGCACGGGUGCUUGCGCCUGGUGGCGAGUGGCGAACGGGUGAGUAAUAUAUCGGAACGUACCUUAUUGUGGGGGAUAACGCAGCGAAAGCUGUGCUAAUACCGCAUAAUCCCUAAGGGGGAAAGCGGGGGACCGUAAGGCCUCGCGCAAUUAGAGCGGCCGAUACCUGAUUAGCUAGUUGGUGAGGUAAGGGCUCACCAAGGCAACGAUCAGUAGCUGAUCUGAGAGGACGAUCAGCCACACUGGGACUGAGACACGGCCCAGACUCCUACGGGAGGCAGCAGUGGGGAAUUUUGGACAAUGGGGGCAACCCUGAUCCAGCAAUGCCGCGUGAGUGAAGAAGGCCUUCGGGUUGUAAAGCUCUUUUGUCAGGGAAGAAACAGCAGCUCUAACACAGUUUGCGAAUGACGGUACCUGAAGAAUAAGCACCGGCUAACUACGUGCCAGCAGCCGCCGUAA